GGGGAAAGCGGGCAUCCCUGAUGGGUGCCAUUCCUGAUUGUGAAAGGGGCUGACAGUGCCCCGUUAAUGCGGAUCCUCGCGGUGGGGCACGUGUACAAUGAGAGCACCCAGGACAGCAUGUUGGGGCCGAAUCCCAUGUGUGUGAGGGUGCUCCCCAGAUACGACCAGCUCACCCGGUCAAAAGCCUUUUCGGCAUCGGUGGAAAGUAGUAGAAGUUCUCUACGAUGCGUCCGUGCUAUGUGUAGGAUGUUCAGAGCCUUAAUCGUGUUGUCUCUCCCUUCCCUGCCCGGGAUAAACCCUACCUGAUCCGAGUGUACCAAGUGGGGGAGGUGUCUUGCAACUCUCAGGGCAAUGGCUUUUGCGAAUAGUUUCAGGUACGAUCUAUCUUUUGAACCACUGGACCAAUUUGUAUGAUUUUGACGUAUGUUUGUAUUUGGAGUAUGCUGAUUCUGAAAAUGUAAGUGAAUGUGAUGCAAAAACUGUAUUUCUCUGCCUGUGAUAAUUACA
This is a non-coding RNA of Pelobates cultripes (western spadefoot toad), 507 nucleotides long. NCBI's taxonomy places the organism in Eukaryota, Metazoa, Chordata, Amphibia, Anura, Pelobatidae. The record is from the annotation of a GenBank genome assembly.